UACGGAGGGAGCUAGCGUUGUCCGGAUUUAUUGGGUUUAAAGGGUGCGUAGGCGGCCUAUUAAGUCAGUGCUGAAAUAUUCCGGCUCAACCGGGAGGGUGGCAUUGAUACUGAUGGGCUAGAGUACAGAUGAGGUAGGCGGAAUUGACGGUGUAGCGGUGAAAUGCUUAGAUAUCGUCAAGAACACCUAUAGCGAAGGCAGCUUACUAGGCUGUAACUGACGCUGAGGCACGAAAGUGUGGGGAUCAAAC
Molecule: ribosomal RNA, 250 nt
Filed under: uncultured bacterium
Lineage: Bacteria
Description: partial 16S ribosomal RNA
Rfam family: Bacterial small subunit ribosomal RNA
Source: RNAcentral